Long non-coding RNA from Columba livia (rock pigeon), 6008 nucleotides. RefSeq lists it as uncharacterized. Lineage: Eukaryota; Metazoa; Chordata; Aves; Columbiformes; Columbidae. The transcript has 4 exons. The record is from RefSeq and is a predicted model, not a curated record.
CGAGAGUGGGCAAGAGGUUGGGAGGAGACAUAGCCAGGACAGCUGAGCCAAACUGACCAAAGGGAUAUUCCAUACCACAUGACAUCGUGCUGAGCAAUAGAAGCUAAGAGAAGAAAGUGUGUCGGCGGGGGGCAUUUGUUAUUAAGGCGUUUCUCUUCUGAAGCAUACUAAGGCCCAGGAAGUGGCUGGACAUGGUCUGCUGAUGAGGUUUUGCAGAAGGCACAUAUGAGAUCGGUGAAAAAGAUCCAAUGAGAAGCAAGAUGACCCCAAACUGAAAAAUCGCCAUUGGACUGAAUCGUGGUAUGAAUGGUCUGUAAAGAUAUAAAAGUCUAUGGUUUUCUAUGCUCGGGUUGGACCUCUGUGCAGGUACCCAGCUUGAGUCAGCCCUCCUGGUAUUCUACUCCAUUAAUUAUUUUUUUUUCUGAGAAUUUUGUUUCCUGAAAGUCUGCUCUGCAUACAAUUAUCACACCUCGCCUGAAAGUUUGCCUUCAGAGCUCUAAAAUACAGACUCUGGAGCAAACGGUUAUCAGGGAGGGAAGAAUCCUGAAAGUUUGCACUGCAUGGGAUACAGGCCUCGCCUGAAAGUCUGCCUCCGGAGCUCCAAGUCACAGCCUUUGGAGUGAACGGUUAUUAGGGAGGGAACGGGUACAGGCACCUGGAGAGAAGGGAUCCACCUUCUUCAAUACAGUCUCGGGAUUUCUGUCAGUCCUUCCUGGAGUCCCUACUGACGAGCUACAGAACCAUUGAAAUCAACAGGGCCUUCAGCAUCAGGGACCCCCAAGAUGAUGACUUCGACUCCCGUGCGAGCCCCCAAACUGUCUGAUAGUCCCGGAUGACUCAGUCCUUAUCUGCUGGGCCAGGUUCCAGAUUGUGGAUUGCGAAGACAACAUUCUUUCCUUAAUAGCUCCUUGUGGGAGAUUUGAGGGAUUUUCUUGAGGUUGUUGUGUGGAUGGGUUUCUAUUAGAUAGAGAUUUAUUUCUGAACUAGCCAAAGGAAUGUCAAGGCCAGCCCAAAGGUUGAAAGACAGCAGUGAGACUCGGGCGUGUGGACAGCUCGUGAACAUGGACAAUAUCCAGUCAGCUAAUGCAUGCUUGCAGCGUGGACGCGUGAUCAGGAAAUAACUGCAUAUAUAAGGAGGCUUGUUUCUGUAAUAAAUGGCUUCGCUUGAAUUCAUAUUGGAUUGUGUGGAGUCCAUGAUUUUUCGCCCUCGCAAGUGGUGAUUCCGAUGUGAUCCAUAAGGAGAAUUUACGGAAGGGGGACGACUGCUGUGGGGAGCGAGCCCCAGCUGGAAUGGCCCGGCUGGACCGUGACCGGGACGCAGUCUGCGGGCUGCGUGACUCCUGAUUGAUCGCUACAGAAGCGACAGAGGAGGGAUAAAGGAUCCGAUAGCAUUGCAACGGACACCCAAAGAGGUGAGCAGCUGGGGGCGAGAGGAGAUGGGGCAGAAUAUUUUUAAAGAAGAAGAAGAAAUACUGCAGCUCCUCUCGCAUAUUCUCUCUAAGAGAGGGGUGAAGUAUGAGGAGAGUAACCUCAAAAGACUAUUAAUUUGGUGUUGAGGCAAUGGCUUUCCUGCUGACGUGUUAGGAGUUUUUCAAAUAGAGACUUGGGAUAAAGUGGGAACUGUGUUGUGGAAGGCAAUCGGUCACAGUGAAAAAGAUAUUCUCGGCCUUGUAACCACCUGGAAACUGAUAAUUACUACAGUGAAGCAAUUAAAGCCUGAAAAGACUGUUACAAGCAUUAGUGACUCAAAACCUGAACUUUGGGACGAUAUAGGGCAGAAAUUAUGGGAUAAAGUCAGCAAUGGAGAUAAAGAAGCUAAAUCAUUAGUAACUACAUGGAAGCUUACAAUCACUACCUUAAAAGAUCUUAAGGCUGAACGGUCUGCUGCUGCUGGAAUUUUUGCAGCGUUGCAGCCUGUUAAGUAUCCUGAAAGUUGCUGUGAAAUUUACCCGGUUCGUGUCUUUGAUACCCUCCCUAUUCCAUCCCCUGCUGUGCUUUCGGCACCCCCGAUAGUUCAGCAGUCCGGGGCGGGGGGAGGAAAAAUGCCGAGCGGGUGGCCUCCUGUACCACUGUCCAACCCUGGUGAGAACAACAAGUCCAAAGGAUUGGAGUCGGACGAUUUGCCUAAAGAACCUGUGAAAGCUGAGAAUGCUAAGGUCGUGAACAAGUGUACUAUCAGUCCUUUUACCAAUUUGUAUCUGCCUUUAAUGCCUUUUAACCCUCCAACUUCCACGAGAGAGCAGAAGGAGUCACUGGAUAAGAACUGGGCAACAGAACUGUGUGACAGAUUAGAUCAGCUAACAGCGAGUGAAUCCAGCAGUCGGCAAUGCGGUCAUGAUGAUCGCGACGGGAAAGGGGGUGCUCCUGGGGACUCGGGUUAUACAAAUAAUUAUGAUGCUAGAAAGUAUUGGCGAGAAUGUGCACUGUUCCGAACCCCCCCAUUACCAAUGAUUCUCCAGCACCGCUCAAGUCCGCAUUAUCUGAGGACUCGGAUGAGGAUGAGGGUCUGCAGCAUUUUCUUGAGAAGUUAAAGGAGUAUGUGUACGUGUUGCCCCAAGAUCAGAUAAAAACUAUGAAAGACUCAAGCAAAAUUAGACCUAUGCAAUGUAACAGCUAUAGAUCAUUUAGAAUGGAAUGAUGGGGACUCGUUGAAAGGGGCAGGUAUCCCCCAACUCUUGGAACAGACACUAGUUGACACACCACAAUUACAGGCACGAUAAGUUUCUGAAAUCCUGAGGCAGUCAACAGACCUUGCAUAUCAAGCUAUAGUAGAGGUGUCUGAAACCAACAAAGCAGCCAAAUCUUUUAUAACUACUAUCAGGGUCCCAGUGAGAAUUACAUGCAAUUUACUGACCAUCUUCAAGAGGCCAUCAAUAAGCAGGUUGAAAACUCAGAAGUUAAGGAAGCACUGGUGUUGAAAUUAGCAGUAGAGAAUGCUAAUGUUUGCUAUCAACGUGUUAUUUGCGAGUUUUACAGUACAUAUUAUAUGCUUCUGUGUAUUGCCCCUCUGAAAAUCAAGCAGCUUGUCAGGAAUGUGAGUUAAUUGUUUCACUGGUUGUUGUUAGAAUUUUUUCUUUGUGGUAUAAGUACACCGUAAAACUUUCUCCCCACUUUUCCCACUCGUGCUGCAAGCAGCCCUGUGCUUCCCCCCCUCCCUCCCUCUUCUCAUGGUUUUUACUUACGAGAUGGGGUCAGGAAUGACUGCUUUCAGUCGUGUUCCUAAGAAAUCGGUAUUGGGAGGUGUUUUAAAACAUAGGAAAGCACUUGGAUAUUCCAAUAUCCAGACUUGCACAACUCUGUGAUAGGCUGUGUCUCAUCUCGAUGUGCUGGAUUUGGCUCUUUUGUAUGCACAUCAAGUAAAGAAUCCUGGUUUUGGAAUAACAGUUGUAGCACACCAGAUGAGACGCUAAUAAAAACCUUGCCCAGUCCAGCUUGCUGCAGCGGCGGGGGGGCGGGUGCUGAUUGGGCUCCAGCGCGCACUGACCUGUUUUGUCAGGGAGACCCAGCGGUACCUCUGCCUGGCUGAGCAGUAGGCGGUUCAAAGGUGCAAUGCAAAAAUUGAGAUAUUGUCUUGAAUUAGUGUAACUGUGAUCCAUCUGCAUAUUUGAACUUGGUAUUUGGUUUUCAUAUCUAGGCUCAGUAUUUUAAUUUGCAUAUUUCUAUUUGGUACCAAAAGAAUUUUGUUUGGGGAGAUAAUUACAAAAUGGGAACCGGUUCCACUGCUAAAAUUCCACCUUGCUCCCCCUUAGGAUGCAUCCUUACACAUUAGAGUAAUUGCUUAUAUUGUUAUCUAGUAACUUUGAGACCAGAAAAGAAUUUAAAUUGUCAAACUCUGCUUUGCAUUGAAAAAAAUUUGCCAUAAAGCCCUAUACCUCUCUUGGGUCAAGAUUUGUUAAGCAAAUUGUAAGCUCAAAUAACGUUUUCUGAGAAUUCUGUUUAGUUGCAUGUCUUACAAGAAGCUGCUUGGAUGGUGCAGAUCUGCUUGUGCAAGUGAGGAAUCUCCAAGGAAAUUUCGAAUGCUGUAUUUCCACUAGUAUUAACAGCCAAUGUUUCGAUAAAGCAAAUACUACACUGAUAGAUCUGAAACAGGACGUCGAUCCGGUAAGGGAAAACAAUAUCCAAUAAAUAUGACAGCUAAAAUGGAGUUGGAAACUUUGAGGAAUAAAUUUAUGACAACCUUACAGGUUGACUGCAUUUGAUUGGACUUGCAGAUUUGUCUGUUACAUGUACCAUUUGUGAAAUUUAAUUUUGAUUUUUUUAUAUGCAAUCUACAUCUUUGUAAAUUGCACUAGCUCAUUUUCUUAACAGCACAGCUUUUGGCAUGCAUAAAUGUAAAAUGUAAAUUGCUGCAGAACCUGCAAGUCUUUAACAUCAGGUCACAGACCAUACUUGUAGUUGGUCUGAUCCUACAUACUUGCACACUUUUUGUUGAUGGUUCAGGGAAGUCUCAUAAAGCUGUAGUGGUCUGGCAUGAAGAUAACAAUUGGCAUCAUUCUGUACAAAUUACUGAAGGUUCAACCCAAUUAGCAGAACUUGGCGCAGCUUUACAUUACUUAGAGCUUUUUAAGGAGGAACCUCUAAAUUUGAUUUGUGAUUCUGAGUACGUAGUCAAGGUCCAACGCAUGUAUCUGAUUCUGAACUGGUUUGUUUUUGUUUGUUUUUUGUUUUGUUUGUUUGUUUGUUUGUUUGUUUUUUGUUUUGUUUUGGUUUGGUUUUGGUUUUGUUUAAACAAAAAGGGGGGAGAAAUAGGGAAAACACCACAAAACCAAUUGUCAAAAGCAUUGUAUGUAAUGAAUCACUUAUAUCUAAGUGGUGCAGCCCAAAUUUUCCCUGUGAUGUUGCAAGUAUGACCCAAAACCAUGCUAAAUCAGAAAGAACCUACAUUAGUUAUGGUCAAAUCACUAGUUAACGGUAAAUGGAAAAGGCCACAUCAAUUGAUAACCUGGGGAAAAGGUUAUGCUUGUGUCAUUACGGGCCAAGGAUUGAAGUGGAUUCAACAAAGAUUCAACGGAUACAGACGGACAGGAGGGAGAUAAGUUGUGAGGACUGUUUCAGAUGUAAACCAUGGAUCCUAAUUCAGUGUUAUGGAUGCUCACAGACCUGGUGGUCUAGAAGCCUAUUUGCAAGCAGGUGGUGUACCUUCUGUGGAGAAUGGCAAUUUGAGCAAACAGCAGGAGAGUCAAAAGGAUAAUAUUACACUUAGAUAGCAAAUGCAAAAAUGAGGUAAAAUUAUGAGACAUUCCUACCAUAGUAUCUACUGCACUCCUUCUCCCUAGUCUAGCAGCUGGUAAAGCUUUAGGAGACAUAUCAAAGUUAAGCUAUUGGUCUUUUAAACAGGCUAAUCUAACUUCUGAGAUACUAACUCAAUUAAUAGUAGAUGUUGAUGGUGUUAGGCAUGUUACAUUUCAAAAUCGUGUUGCUAUAGAUUUUUGUUGUUAUCGUAAGGACAUGGUUGUGAUGAAUUUAAGAGAAGGAUGUUGUAUUAACUUGUUUAAUCAUUCUGGAUCUAUGCAUAGUAUUUUAGACAAACUAACCCAGCACGUUAAUAAGAUUGUCAUAGUAGAAUUAGGGUUUGACAAAUGGUGGGUAGUUGUUUGAUCUUAUUAUGUAAGGCUUAGCUACAUUAUAUGUAACUGUAAUCAUUGUUGUUAAUCAUAUGUUGUAUGCUGCAGUGUAUUUCAAAGAUGAUUCAGUGCGUUGUAAACAAGGCUUGGCUGGUUCAAAAACAAAAAGGGAGAAAUGUGGGAGAUUUGAGGGAUUUUCUUGAGGCUGUUGUGUGGAUGGGUUUCUAUUAGAUACAGAUUUAUUUCUGAACUAGCCAAAGGAAUCUCAAGGCCAGCCCGAAGGCUGAAAGACAGCAGUGAGACUCGGGCGUGUGGACAGCUCGUGAACAUGGACAAUAUCCAAUCAGCUAAUGCAUGCUUGGAGCGUGGACGCGUGAUCAGGAAAUAACUGCAUGUAUAAGGAGGCCUGUUUCUGUAAUAAAUGGCUUCGCUUGAAUUCAUAUU